AGUCGAGCGGACGACACUAACAAUCCUUCGGGUGCGUUAAUGGNCGNCNAGNGGCGGACGGGUGAGUAAUGCCUAGGAAAUUGCCUUGAUGUGGGGGAUAACCAUUGGAAACGAUGGCUAAUACCGCAUAAUGCCUACGGGCCAAAGAGGGGGACCUUCGGGCCUCUCGCGUCAAGAUAUGCCUAGGUGGGAUUAGCUAGUUGGUGAGGUAAUGGCUCACCAAGGCGACGAUCCCUAGCUGGUCUGAGAGGAUGAUCAGCCACACUGGAACUGAGACACGGUCCAGACUCCUACGGGAGGCAGCAGUGGGGAAUAUUGCACAAUGGGCGAAAGCCUGAUGCAGCCAUGCCGCGUGUAUGAAGAAGGCCUUCGGGUUGUAAAGUACUUUCAGUUGUGAGGAAGGGGGNANNGUUAAUANCNNNAUCUCUUGACGUUAGCAACAGAAGAAGCACCGGCUAACUCCGUGCCAGCAGCCGCGGUAAUACGGAGGGUGCGAGCGUUAAUCGGAAUUACUGGGCGUAAAGCGCAUGCAGGUGGUUCAUUAAGUCAGAUGUGAAAGCCCGGGGCUCAACCUCGGAACUGCAUUUGAAACUGGUGAACUAGAGUACUGUAGAGGGGGGUAGAAUUUCAGGUGUAGCGGUGAAAUGCGUAGAGAUCUGANNGAAUACCAGUGNCGAAGGCGGCCCCCUGGACAGAUACUGACACUCANAUGCGAAAGCGUGGGGAGCAAACAGGAUUAGAUACCCUNNNAGUCCACGCCGNAAACGAUGUCUACUUGG
Molecule: ribosomal RNA, 779 nt
Filed under: Vibrio sp. KR04-22
Lineage: Bacteria; Pseudomonadati; Pseudomonadota; Gammaproteobacteria; Vibrionales; Vibrionaceae
Description: partial 16S ribosomal RNA
Rfam family: Bacterial small subunit ribosomal RNA
Source: RNAcentral